GCUGGGUGUGGUGGCGCAUGCCUGUAGUCCCAGCUACUCUGGAGGCUGAGGCAGGAGAAUCACUUGAACCCGGGAAGUGGAGGUUGCAGUGUGCUAGAAUUGUGUCACUGCACUCCAGCCUGGGUGACAGAGCAAGAUCCUGUCUUAA
Unclassified non-coding RNA from Papio anubis (olive baboon), 148 nucleotides. It matches the Rfam family "Metazoan signal recognition particle RNA". From Rfam's summary of the family: The signal recognition particle (SRP) is a universally conserved ribonucleoprotein. It is involved in the co-translational targeting of proteins to membranes. The record is from Ensembl. Lineage: Eukaryota; Metazoa; Chordata; Mammalia; Primates; Cercopithecidae.